GACGAACGCUGGCGGCGUGCUUAACACAUGCAAGUCGAACGGAAAGGCCUCUUUCGUGGGGUACUCGAGUUGCGAACGGGCGAGUAACACGUGCGUAACCUGCCCUUCACUUUGGGAUAACUUCCGGAAACUGGGGCUAAUACCGGAUAGGUGCUCCUUCGGCACGGUGGGGGUUAGAAAGUUUCGGCGGUUGGGGAUGGACUCUCGGCUUAUCCGCUUUUUGGUGGGGUAGUGGCUUACCAAGGCCUUGACGGGUAGCCGGCCUGAGAGGGUGACCGGCCACAUUGGGACUGAGAUACGGCCCAGACUCCUACGGGAGGCAGCAGUGGGGAAUCUUGCACAAGGGGUGGAAGCCUGAUGCAGAAACGCCGUGGGCGGGAGGACGGUCUUCGGGUUGUAAACCGCUUUCGCUCAUGACGAAGCUUUGUGUGACGGUAGUGGGUAAAGAAGCACCGGCUAACUACGUG
Molecule: ribosomal RNA, 467 nt
Filed under: uncultured bacterium
Lineage: Bacteria
Description: partial 16S ribosomal RNA
Rfam family: Bacterial small subunit ribosomal RNA
Source: RNAcentral